RNAcentral lists this ribosomal RNA (341 nucleotides) under uncultured bacterium. RNAcentral's name for it is "bacterial SSU rRNA". It matches the Rfam family "Bacterial small subunit ribosomal RNA", at positions 8 to 334 of the family's 1533-position model. The record is from RNAcentral.
AGGGUUUGAUUCUGGCUCAGGAUGAACGCUGGCGGCGUGCCUAACACAUGCAAGUCGAACGGAGUUUUAUGAGGAAGUUUUCGGAUGGAAUUAUGAAACUUAGUGGCGGACGGGUGAGUAACGCGUGGGAAACCUGCCCUGUACUGGGGGAUAACACUUAGAAAUAGGUGCUAAUACCGCAUAAGCGCACAGAGCUGCAUGGCUCGGUGUGAAAAACUCCGGUGGUAUGGGAUGGGCCCGCGUCUGAUUAGGCAGUUGGCGGGGUAACGGCCCACCAAACCGACGAUCAGUAGCCGGCCUGAGAGGGCGACCGGCCACAUUGGGACUGAGACACGGCCCAA